GGAAGCAUCGAUGUCUUGGCUGCUUACUCUGUCCCCACCUGAGGUACAGCCUCAGAAGGGCAGGGACAUUGGCUUGCUCACUGUUGAAGCCCCAGGACCUUGCACAGUGCCUGACACACAGUGGGUCUCAACAAGUGUGGGUGAGUCACUCAGUGCAGGACAUCACUUAUCCCGGAGCUGUCACCAGCAUGACCUCAGCCCAUCAGCAGGAAACCGCAGCGUUUUACUAUCUCUGUUGCACAGAUGAGGCUCGGUCACAUACCAGCCACAGAAGGCUUGCGGGAGAAGGAAGCCAUGGUGUCCAUCCUCUGCCUCCAAGCUGGGAUCAGCAUCAAAGAUCUUGGGGUCCAGCCUACGGGGCCCUCGACCAGGUCUGGUCACAGACAGG
This 388-nucleotide long non-coding RNA is filed under the name Equus asinus (donkey). RNAcentral describes it as "lncRNA (ENSEASG00005038767.1)". The record is from RNAcentral. Lineage: Eukaryota; Metazoa; Chordata; Mammalia; Perissodactyla; Equidae.